UGAAAACCUCUCCCCUGAUUUGUGACUAAUUUGAGGUGAGGCUGGACGACUAUUGUGUUGAAGUAUUCGAUUCCACCGUCAUCCUGAAAAAGCCAAAUAUAUUUGAAUAUCAUUAGGGUUCGAUGUCCGGUCAGUCGAGGCAGCUCAGAGGUUGGGAUCCGGCCUCUCCGGACCACCUUCAACAAAUAACAGCUCUCCGAUUCUACAGUCCCGGCCUCAAAUUUCGGUGUUCCUGGCAACGACCUUCGCCCAUGCAGCAGGAGCCUCCACCAGACCGUCCUCAGCAAGGAUAUUUGCAAUCGCGAGUGCAUCGCCCGCGGUACUCGACGGCUAAGGAUAGGAUUCUCGUCCGUGCGGCUGCAUACUUGGAGCUGUACCUAUAUCCAGUCCUGCACACAUACAUACAUACUGUAUAUCGUAUCAACACCCACGUUACAGGGUGGUAAGUAUAUCGUACAGUACGGACCGGUAUAAUACACACCUACGGGCAAGUACGUACGGAUAGAUUUACUUUGCAUCGUAUGCGGCCGCAGAUCGCGUUUCCGCUUCUUCGGCACUAACGAUAAGUGAU
Long non-coding RNA from Neodiprion fabricii, 571 nucleotides. RefSeq lists it as uncharacterized. NCBI's taxonomy places the organism in Eukaryota, Metazoa, Arthropoda, Insecta, Hymenoptera, Diprionidae. The record is from RefSeq and is a predicted model, not a curated record. The transcript has 3 exons.